Small nucleolar RNA from Adelges cooleyi (spruce gall adelgid), 73 nucleotides. The record is from RefSeq and is a predicted model, not a curated record. NCBI's taxonomy places the organism in Eukaryota, Metazoa, Arthropoda, Insecta, Hemiptera, Adelgidae.
AUGCAAUGAUGAGUGAUAUUUAGUUGAAUGAUAUUAUGAAAUAUAUUUUUUGAGCUUUUUAACUCUGAGCAUU